CUGCAGGUGAAACAGGCUGAUUUCAUGGGACUCGGCUCUUUCAUUACUUUUCACAUGAUAGAGAGUCACGUGA
This 73-nucleotide transfer RNA is filed under the name Candidozyma auris. RNAcentral describes it as "[Candida] auris tRNA-Ala". The record is from RNAcentral. Lineage: Eukaryota; Fungi; Ascomycota; Pichiomycetes; Serinales; Metschnikowiaceae.